This 419-nucleotide unclassified non-coding RNA is filed under the name Athalia rosae (coleseed sawfly). Its description in RNAcentral is "misc RNA ENSAEAG00005002637.1". The record is from RNAcentral. Lineage: Eukaryota; Metazoa; Arthropoda; Insecta; Hymenoptera; Athaliidae.
CCAUCUUUGACAUUAAGUGGCGAUAAUUUUUCACGUUUACUUUUACGUCUGCUGUAAAUGAACGAAACGAAUUGUCAGCGUUGCUACACCUCAAGCCAGUAUCAAUGUUGCAUCGGCACUUGAACGACUUCGUACUAUAGAAACGUCCGUCUGUCUCGUAUUUGACGAUGUUGAAACAAAUUAAAUACCCGUAUCAAUUUGUAAUGUGACAUGAAAGUGAAAGAUAUCGUGCAUAUUAGGGUCUGCAUGUACAUACGUACAUACACACAAGUACACCAUGAGACGGUAACUGCAUAUAGGGUAGUAAGUUCGAAAAUGUGAGGAAUUUUGAAUAACAUUUAUACAUUUUGUCUCUCGAAACUCUGGAAAAGUGACUAAUAAAACACACCUGUUAUGCAGCCCAUCUUCGAUCCUAUACC